Molecule: ribosomal RNA, 254 nt
Filed under: uncultured bacterium
Lineage: Bacteria
Description: partial 16S ribosomal RNA
Rfam family: Bacterial small subunit ribosomal RNA
Source: RNAcentral
GACGAACCGUGCGAACGUUAUUCGGAAUCACUGGGCUUAAAGCGCGUGUAGGCGGAAGGGCACGUCCGUUGCUGAAAUCCCCCGGCUCAACCGGGGAACGGGCGCGGAUACGACUCUUCUGGAGGGGCGUAGGGGGACCUGGAACUUCCGGUGGAGCGGUGAAAUGCGUUGAGAUCGGAAGGAACGCCCGUGGCGAAAGCGAGGUCCUGGACGCCUACUGACGCUGUGACGCGAAAGCCAGGGGAGCGAACGGG